AGAUUGAACUGAAGAGUUUGAUCCUGGCUCAGAUUGAACGCUGGCGGCAUGCUUUACACAUGCAAGUCGAACGGCAGCGCGGGCUUCGGCCUGGCGGCGAGUGGCGAACGGGUGAGUAAUAUAUCGGAACGUACCCAGGAGUGGGGGAUAACGUAGCGAAAGUUACGCUAAUACCGCAUACGUCCUAAGGGAGAAAGCGGGGGAUCGCAAGACCUCGUGCUCAUGGAGCGGCCGAUAUCUGAUUAGCUAGUUGGUGGGGUAAAGGCUCACCAAGGCAACGAUCAGUAGCUGGUCUGAGAGGACGACCAGCCACACUGGAACUGAGACACGGUCCAGACUCCUACGGGAGGCAGCAGUGGGGAAUUUUGGACAAUGGGGGCAACCCUGAUCCAGCAAUGCCGCGUGAGUGAAGAAGGCCUUCGGGUUGUAAAGCUCUUUUGUCAGGGAAGAAACGAUCCU
Molecule: ribosomal RNA, 459 nt
Filed under: Pseudoduganella ginsengisoli
Lineage: Bacteria; Pseudomonadati; Pseudomonadota; Betaproteobacteria; Burkholderiales; Oxalobacteraceae
Description: bacterial SSU rRNA
Rfam family: Bacterial small subunit ribosomal RNA
Source: RNAcentral